RNAcentral lists this long non-coding RNA (855 nucleotides) under Marmota monax (woodchuck). Lineage: Eukaryota; Metazoa; Chordata; Mammalia; Rodentia; Sciuridae. The record is from RNAcentral.
GUCAAGUCAUUGUUUCUGUCACCACAUCUUCUUAAGUUUGAUAAAAUCCCAACAACAAAUGUCAGUUCAGAUCAGAUUUACAACAGGCAAACACCUGUUCUUCCGGGCUGCCUAGAUGAAGACCCCUGUGAUUACCGUUCUCAGGGAGGAGGGAUGUCUUGGUGGGGGCCCGAUGUGCACUCUGACCCCUUGGCCCUGAAGCUCCCGGUGUGUGGACCUCAGCGGCGUAGGCUAGAGGCCUGGAGUCAGUGGAGGCUGAUUUGAAAGCUCUGUGGUCCUGCCCCCCCGCCCCGUGAGCAGCAGAUGCUACUGAGGAGCAUGUGGCAGGUUAUGGCUCCGUCUGAUGGCAGGGCCCUUAAAAAACCACAGAAACCAGGACAAUGGGGCAAAGAGGCCUCUGAAGGAGCUGAGAGUGGAGGGCUCACGCCUGGGUUCGUGCAGGAGAUGUUUGAGAUCUGCUCCUCCUGGGGGGCUGAGUAACUCGGAGGCUUUGUGACCAGGUCAUGUUCCACAGUGUUACAGCUUUUACGGCCAGCGUGAGUCCGGGGCAGACCGCUUGGUUUCACUCCUGCUGUUCCCAAGGCAUGCCGCUCCCAACAGGUGACCUCUGUCCCUGCUGGAAGGUGGGCUCAGGAUGUCACCGCCCUCGCUGUUCCCAAGGGACUCCUAAAGUGGGUCUGACUUCCGCCAUGUGCUCUUGUGGUGGCUCCUCGUCCCCAGACACUUCCCUAACACUCCGUAACGCUCCCUAUUCUGUCUCGAGUGCUCAGAAAGCUCUUGUUUUGUUCCAGGUGCGUGUCUGAACACUGUACCGUAGUUCACCCAUCCACACACCGGCCCUGUGAAGGAAUGCUC